This 1398-nucleotide long non-coding RNA is filed under the name Hordeum vulgare. RNAcentral describes it as "long non-coding RNA (HVUL_LNC003034)". Lineage: Eukaryota; Viridiplantae; Streptophyta; Magnoliopsida; Poales; Poaceae. The record is from RNAcentral.
CGAAAUCAAUAUUUUGAACAGAUCACAGAACAAAUGAAAUUCGUCCAAAAAAACACUAAAUUAGUCUAUUACAAUCUUUACACUACUACAACUCAAAUAUGCCUACUACAGCCUACUAUCACAAUACAUGAUAUGCUACUCUUUGCAUAUAGGCUUCACGACUUCACGCUUGGGUUCAUAUUAGGGGUGGAGCUCCUGUAAAAGAGGAACCAGCUAAAAAAGUUACAUGCAACAUUAUUUCCUAUAGAUCAGCUUGCUGCAUAUUAAUCUAACGCUGCCUUCUACUUGCAGACUAGAAGUGUCCCUUGAGAGAAACCAGAACUUAGAAUUGAAGCAUGGAUCAUAUUCUAAACACUACAGUAUCAACACCAUGGCAGUAACAAAUUAACAGUAGCAGGACAUUAAUGGGGCACAACUUAGUUAGCUACUAAUGUUCACCAAAUUCAAAGAUUGUAUGCUCUAGCUAACAAAAAUAUAAUACCAUGCUUAGGAGCUGAGAGCGAGAAAAGUAUGUGUCGCAUAAGAGAUACCAAAAUCGAUACUGAUCAAGGAUAAAAACAUGUAGAUAUCAUAUAAUUCCCAUCACAAUCAUACAUUGAAUUCAUUAAAGGCUGCAGAUUCAUUUCUUAGACAUAGAAUUGGAAAAUCACAAGAAUAGCAGAUUCACCAAUGUGUCCAAAUAAGACAAGGAAGAGAGUGGGACAGACCAAGGACUUACGCUGUGGACAGAUCAAAGAUGCCUCCUCUUCCUCGGUGGACAGAUCAAAGAACUAACAGCUAUAGACAUACACAAGGAUCGGUGUUAGCAGAAUUAUGAUAUAUUUGUACAAGGCAAUCGCAGGUACCAAUCCAGUGCAAGAUAAUAGAGAAAAUAUGUCAAAGUUAUUCAGAUUUACUAAUGUGUUUUCCAUACUACAAAUAUUCAAGAUAAAAGAUGUGUACUGAUUCAACACUGCAAACUUAUUCCUGAAAGCGUUACUGUGUAGAUAAGUGAACUGAGCAUUGUUUUUUGUUGACUCUAGUACCUAUAAAGUUGACAGAUGAUAAACUACUGCACUUAUAUACAUCCACCUAAGAAAGGACCGAUGGAAGUCGGGAUCCCAACUUAUUCAAAUUAGAGAAGUUCAUUUAACUUGCACAAUCCAGAGAGAAAUAUGUCCAGACUUGGAACAUAAGGAAAGACACCAAUAUAAGCAAGAAUUUACAACAAAGUAGACAUUAAUUAUAACAUAGCAGCUCUAGCUAUGUUGUUGUUUGCAUAUUAAAACCAGUAGUUGACCAUAGACGCAAAUAUAUAAGUACAAUACUUGAGAUAAAAUAAAAACAGAAUCUAUAAAGCUUGGAGCAUAUGAUAUAGUAAUUGGCAUGCUGAAUUUUUGCAGAUAAGCAUCAAAUUGG